This 442-nucleotide ribosomal RNA is filed under the name uncultured bacterium. RNAcentral describes it as "SSU rRNA". It matches the Rfam family "Bacterial small subunit ribosomal RNA", at positions 26 to 518 of the family's 1533-position model. The record is from RNAcentral.
AGAGCGAACGCUGGCGGCAGGCCUAACACAUGCAAGUCGAGCGCCCCGCAAGGGGAGCGGCAGACGGGAGAGUAACACGUGGGAACGUACCCUUCAGUUCGGAACAACCCAGGGAAACUUGGGCUAAUACCGAAUACGUCCGUAAGGAGAAAGAUUUAUCGCUGAAGGAUCGGCCCGCGUCUGAUUAGCUUGUUGGUGAGGUAAUGGCUCACCAAGGCUACGAUCAGUAGCUGGUCUGAGAGGAUGAUCAGCCUCACUGGGACUGAGACACGGCCCAGACUCCUACGGGAGGCAGCAGUGGGGAAUAUUGGACAAUGGGCGCAAGCCUGAUCCAGCCAUGCCGCGUGGGUGAUGAAGGCCCUAGGGUUGUAAAGCCCUUUCGGCGGGAAGAUAAUAACGGUACCCGCAGAAGAAGCCCGGCUAACUUCGCGCCAGCAGCCGC